Molecule: ribosomal RNA, 307 nt
Filed under: Salmonella enterica subsp. enterica serovar Agona
Lineage: Bacteria; Pseudomonadati; Pseudomonadota; Gammaproteobacteria; Enterobacterales; Enterobacteriaceae
Description: bacterial SSU rRNA
Rfam family: Bacterial small subunit ribosomal RNA
Source: RNAcentral
GGUCGGGAACUCAAAGGAGACUGCCAGUGAUAAACUGGAGGAAGGUGGGGAUGACGUCAAGUCAUCAUGGCCCUUACGACCAGGGCUACACACGUGCUACAAUGGCGCAUACAAAGAGAAGCGACCUCGCGAGAGCAAGCGGACCUCAUAAAGUGCGUCGUAGUCCGGAUUGGAGUCUGCAACUCGACUCCAUGAAGUCGGAAUCGCUAGUAAUCGUGGAUCAGAAUGCCACGGUGAAUACGUUCCCGGGCCUUGUACACACCGCCCGUCACACCAUGGGAGUGGGUUGCAAAAGAAGUAGGUAGCU